Molecule: ribosomal RNA, 303 nt
Filed under: Alexandrium margalefii
Lineage: Eukaryota; Dinophyceae; Gonyaulacales; Pyrocystaceae
Description: partial Bacterial small subunit ribosomal RNA
Rfam family: Bacterial small subunit ribosomal RNA
Source: RNAcentral
AGACUACGAUAGGUAGGGGCCCUGAUAGGGGGAUCCCCCACACUGGUACUGAGACACGGACCAGACUCCUACGGGAGGCAGCAGUGAGGAAUAUUGGACAAUGGGCUCACGCCUGAUCCAGCCAUGCCGCGUGCAGGAAGACAGCCCUAUGGGUUGUAAACUGCUUUUAUACGGGAAGAAUAAGGGGCACGUGUGCUCCGAUGACGGUACCGUAAGAAUAAGGACCGGCUAACUCCGUGCCAGCAGCCGCGGUAAUACGGAGGGUCCGAGCGUUAUCCGGAAUCAUUGGGUUUAAAGGGUCCG